GUCCCAUCGAGUGCUGUCUCCUGCCUGGGGCUGUGCCUGAAGGUGGUGACAGAUCCCUGCUGCCUGGGGCUCGUGUUCGUCCUUCCCCUUUGGAGAAAGGCAGCUCUGCUGAACGCUGCUCUCCAUCCUGCACUUCUACCCGUGUUGCCACCAGGAGUAAUCACACCUGUGUUCAUGUGGAUCCAUCUGCUGCUUCAUCCGUCGUGCUUCGACCAUGGGAAGUCCCAGAUGCGCUCAUGGACGAGUGGGAAGAAAUCUUUGCGAGGCAGUUGUUUGGACAGUCUCUGAUCCAGCUUUAGAAACCCUGGCACGUUCAUAAUGUUUAACUAUAUAAAAGGCAUGAGUGCAUGUGGGCACUAUAAAUCCAGCAGUGCAGAUGCAGCCUGGAAAGAGAUUGUAAAAAAGCCCAACAAUGCAGCUGGUUCCCUCCUCAAGCACAGUGCACCAAUUAAAUACUGGAGGUGGUUACAGAACGGGUUUGAAACAACAUCAUGAGAAAAAUUACUACCUCAAGAAGCGUAAGAA
Hirundo rustica (Barn swallow) is the source of this 525-nucleotide long non-coding RNA. RefSeq lists it as uncharacterized. The record is from RefSeq and is a predicted model, not a curated record. Lineage: Eukaryota; Metazoa; Chordata; Aves; Passeriformes; Hirundinidae. The transcript has 3 exons.